Molecule: ribosomal RNA, 491 nt
Filed under: uncultured bacterium
Lineage: Bacteria
Description: partial 16S ribosomal RNA
Rfam family: Bacterial small subunit ribosomal RNA
Source: RNAcentral
AGUGAACGCUGGCGGUAGGCCUAACACGUGCAAGUCGAACGGCAGCACAGUAAGAGCUUGCUCUUACGGGUGGCGAGUGGCGGACGGGUGAGGAAUACAUCUGAAUCUACUUUUUCGUGGGGGAUAACGUAGGGAAACUUACGCUAAUACCGCAUACGACCUACGGGUGAAAGCAGGGGAUCUUCGGACCUUGCGCGAUUGAAUGAGCCGAUGUCGGAUUAGCUAGUUGGCGGGGUAAAGGCCCACCAAGGCGACGAUCCGUAGCUGGUCUGAGAGGAUGAUCAGCCACACUGGAACUGAGACACGGUCCAGACUCCUACGGGAGGCAGCAGUGGGGAAUAUUGGACAAUGGGCGCAAGCCUGAUCCAGCCAUACCGCGUGGGUGAAGAAGGCCUUCGGGUUGUAAAGCCCUUUUGUUGGGAAAGAAAAGCAGCAGGUUAAUACCCCGCUGUUCUGACGGUACCCAAAGAAUAAGCACCGGCUAACUUCGU